Long non-coding RNA from Eptesicus fuscus (big brown bat), 181 nucleotides. RefSeq lists it as uncharacterized. The record is from RefSeq and is a predicted model, not a curated record. NCBI's taxonomy places the organism in Eukaryota, Metazoa, Chordata, Mammalia, Chiroptera, Vespertilionidae. The transcript is spliced from 3 exons.
CUCAUUUUAACUAAUUAUAUCGGCAAAGACCCUAUUUCCAAAUGAGGUCCUAUACAGAGGCUGAGUUUCAUUCCUGGCUUCCUUUCCCAGAAGGAGGCUGUCAGGAAGGCUCAAGUGGACAGAUGGAUUUCCUUUCAAAAUCCUCUCGAUUGCAUUCGAUACGGUAUUUGGAGGAGUUUAG